This 407-nucleotide ribosomal RNA is filed under the name Salmonella enterica. RNAcentral describes it as "partial 23S ribosomal RNA". It matches the Rfam family "Bacterial large subunit ribosomal RNA", at positions 1 to 447 of the family's 2925-position model. The record is from RNAcentral. Lineage: Bacteria; Pseudomonadati; Pseudomonadota; Gammaproteobacteria; Enterobacterales; Enterobacteriaceae.
GGUUAAGCGACUAAGCGUACACGGUGGAUGCCCUGGCAGUCAGAGGCGAUGAAGGGCGUGCUAAUCUGCGAUAAGCGCCGGUAAGGUGAUAUGAACCGUUAUAACCGGCGAUACCCGAAUGGGGAAACCCAGUGUGACUCGUCACACUAUCAUUAACUGAAUCCAUAGGUUAAUGAGGCGAACCGGGGGAACUGAAACAUCUAAGUACCCCGAGGAAAAGAAAUCAACCGAGAUUCCCCCAGUAGCGGCGAGCGAACGGGGAGGAGCCCAGAGCCUGAAUCAGCAUGUGUGUUAGUGGAAGCGUCUGGAAAGGCGCGCGAUACAGGGUGAUAGCCCCGUACACAAAAGCGCAUGUGUUGUGAGCUCGAUGAGUAGGGCGGGACACGUGGUAUCCUGUCUGAAUAUGG